UCGCCUCGUCUUCUCCAUGGAGCUCCCCUGCCGACGGCCCACGCCGGAGCUUUGGGCCGACCUCCCCUCCGGCAGCACGCGCCGGCCGAACCCAGUUGGCCGCGUCGGCAAUUUCAAUAUUGCGCUCUCACAGUCCGGCUCUGCUCGUGCCAAGCUCUAGGUAUACGUUCUAAUCCUCCUUGCAAAUCUUAGGCUGAAAUUGGAUGUGAUUUGCUUAAUUCCAGUAGUAGUUUCUGAGAAAUAUAUAUUUCAUAGCACGAGCACGUAGUAUGAGAGAUUAUUAGAGCAGUAGUUGUACGUACUACGACAUGUAUUUUGCCGUUGAUUGUACAAGUUCACAUGUACAUCUCUGAAUAAAGAAAAACCUUAUUGCUGAAGUUAUAGAACAGAGGUGGUGUUGUUCGACUUCCAUUAUGCAGUACCGUUUCUUGCAAAAUACUUCCAAUUUGAAUAGUUGUCGUUCAGUAUUUGCCUACCUCUAAUACCAUUCCUCACAAAAUACAUACACCUUUUUUAGUGUCUGAAUUUUAUUAUCUGUUGGUGAUCAGUUUUUCGUACUCCAGCUCUUGGAUGUGCUAUCCUCCCUUCUCACUCUCGGGCUCCAGCAGCAAAUGGACGAAAAGCAUCACGAAGCAGCUCAGCUCCAUCUUCUAUAGUUAUUUCUUGAAUCUGUGAUAUACUAUAUAAUGCAUUCUGUAGAAAACAGAAUGGUGUUCAUUGGAGCCUCUCUCUUGCUAUGUUUCUUCCAUUUGUUUCUGCUCUAAGAAAACUCCAUACUUGGAAAAUGUCUCUUCAUGACUUCUUCGAAGUUUUUUAUGUAGUUUUCAGUCUUGGGUGCGUGCAGUUUCUUCAUGUCACAUCUGAAAUUUGGGGCCAUGUAUGUACAUUGUAAUUAGCAGGGCCUUCCCUGUUUGUGAUACUAAAUGAGGUACCUCUAUAUAUAGGUUUGCACCGUGUCAUUUUUUCCUGUCAUUAAUUGAUCUUCAUACCAAGAAAAUCCUGUUGGAGGGUUAUCGUGCAUACUCUGGUUUUCAGUGCUUUUUAUGAGAAGAGGGUUUUCAAGUAAUUAUUUUUAUCGUUGAUCUGAACAACAAUAAUACUUUAGGAUUGAUCAACACCUGUGUAAUAUGUAGCCUGAGUUGUGGCUCAUGGUAGUACACCACAUGGUUGAGUACCUGAGAUGGAAAGCCAAUCAUUAAGAUUUUUUUUCCCGUAGACAAUUACUAAGUAUUUUGAACAUAUUUUUCCUGCCAUCUAUUUUUUUUGAAAUUGGUUGCUUGAUUAGAAAUACUGACUGUUAGUAUAUACUCCCUCGUCCCAAAAUUCUUGUUUUAUUCUAUUUGCAACAAUUGGCGAUUGGUAUGAGUACUUAUUGACAUAUCAGUCUAAGGUUUGAGCUUGUGAUGCAACUGUGAUUGUAUUGAACAGUGUCGAAUGAAUUCGUCAGUUAGAGCGUGCAUGUACUUGAGUGUUUGGUAGAUUUCUUCUCUCUGGUCUUCAAAAAUACCCAAAUCGACGCGUAUUUUGUCAUGCUAGUACUGAUCAAGAAGGUGUUGACUUGUACAUUCAGUUCACAUGGCCGAGAUAUUCACUUGUUUAACUUCACACUUAUUAAUUACAGUCCAGGAUCUGCUAAACCUUGCAAGUACAGGAGGAUGAGUGCUCUCUGUCCUACAAGUCAAAAAGGCCUCCAGGUCAAACAAUGCUUGCUGUCACUAGAAACCGAUCAAACUUAAAAUUCUGUGCGAAACCAUGUGCUUGAGAUUUCCCACUGAAAUACUCAUGUACGUGCUCUAUAAUUAUAAGUUUCUCCAGUUGAGUCUGUCUACUUUGUCAUGACUAAAUGAUUCAAAAAUAGGGAUUGCACCCCAUGACUGCCUUCUAUUUAGUUUAGAUCAAGCUAAAACUUGUUCCUGAAUUUCGUAGCCACUUAUAUGUUCAGUUGUGUGAUUUGCAGGCUGAGACCUUGCUAGAUUACUUGCGUGAGCAACGAGAAGGGGGCGGCUCCAGAGCUGGACCAGGCGGCGCAGCUACGAGCAUGGCUCGGUAACACGCUGGUCAUGCGACAAAGCUACGAGCUUGGCUAGGCAAUGCAACACUGAUAUGGUGAAAUGCAGAAAGUAAUGAUUGGUUUGUACUAGCAGGUAAACAUAAAUUCAUCGUUGCAGUAUUUGUUCCCACUUUGUAAUGAUGUCUACAACAUUUUAUUCACAACAUCUGUUCCCACUUUGUAUCUGUUCCCACUGAUUACCUGAUUGACCAUACGAAUUACAGCAACACCAACACUAGCUUAUGACUUGAAC
RNAcentral lists this long non-coding RNA (2303 nucleotides) under Triticum aestivum (bread wheat). Its description in RNAcentral is "long non-coding RNA (TAES_LNC021600)". The record is from RNAcentral. Lineage: Eukaryota; Viridiplantae; Streptophyta; Magnoliopsida; Poales; Poaceae.